AGUGAACGCUGGCGGCAGGCCUAAUACAUGCAAGUCGAACGGCAGCACAGCAGAGCUUGCUCUGUGGGUGGCGAGUGGCGGACGGGUGAGGAAUACGUGGGAAUCUGCCCAGUCGUGGGGGAUAACGUAGGGAAACUUACGCUAAUACCGCAUGCGCCCUUCGGGGAAAGCCGGGGACCUUCGGGCCUGGCGCGAUUGGAUGAGCCACGUCGGAUUAGCUAGUUGGCGGGGUAAAGGCCCACCAAGGCGACGAUCCGUAGCUGGUCUGAGAGGAUGAUCAGCCACACUGGAACUGAGACACGGUCCAGACUCCUACGGGAGCAGCAGUAGGGAAUAUUGGACAAUGGGCGCAAGCCUGAUCCAGCCAUGCCGCGUGAGUGAAGAAGGCCCUC
This 392-nucleotide ribosomal RNA is filed under the name uncultured bacterium. RNAcentral describes it as "bacterial SSU rRNA". It matches the Rfam family "Bacterial small subunit ribosomal RNA", at positions 29 to 419 of the family's 1533-position model. The record is from RNAcentral.